This is a small nucleolar RNA of Paramormyrops kingsleyae, 70 nucleotides long. The record is from Ensembl. NCBI's taxonomy places the organism in Eukaryota, Metazoa, Chordata, Actinopteri, Osteoglossiformes, Mormyridae.
UCUGCGAGUGAUGAAUUGUUACCGCCCCAGUCUGAUUUCAGCUGACUGAUUCGGUAUCUUUCUGAUCAAC